RNAcentral lists this long non-coding RNA (202 nucleotides) under Gossypium barbadense (sea-island cotton). RNAcentral describes it as "long non-coding RNA (GBAR_LNC005453)". The record is from RNAcentral. Lineage: Eukaryota; Viridiplantae; Streptophyta; Magnoliopsida; Malvales; Malvaceae.
UAGCUUUUGAGCUGAAAAUGAUAAUGCUUGAUAAGUGACUUGUGUUUGAAUUCUAGUUACGAAAAUGAAAUAUUGAUGUGUCAUGAUUUAUUAAUAUGUGCAUGGAUAUUCGGAUUGAUAACCGGGAUAAGCUCGAAGGCAUUUGUGCAAGUUACUAUAUCCGGGCUAAGUCCCGAAGGUAUUUGUGCGAGUUACUAUAUCC